RNAcentral lists this ribosomal RNA (464 nucleotides) under uncultured bacterium. RNAcentral's name for it is "partial 16S ribosomal RNA". It matches the Rfam family "Bacterial small subunit ribosomal RNA", at positions 339 to 795 of the family's 1533-position model. The record is from RNAcentral.
CUACGGGGCGCACCAGUGGGGAAUAUUGGACAAUGGGGGAAACCCUGAUCCAGCAAUGCCGCGUGUGUGAAGAAGGCCUGCGGGUUGUAAAGCACUUUCGGUUGGGAGGACUGCUUCUAGCACUAAUAUUGUUGGAAGUUGACGUUACCUUCAGAAGAAGCACCGGCUAACUCCGUGCCAGCAGCCGCGGUAAUACGGAGGUGCAAGCGUUAAUCGGAAUUACGGGGCGUAAGGCGCGCGUAGGCGGCUAGAUCAGUCGGGUGUGAAAGCCCCGGGCUUAACCUGGGAACUGCAUCCGAUACUGUCUAGCUUGAGUACAGGAGAGGAGAGUGGAAUUCCACAUGUAGCGGUGAAAUGCGUAGAUAUGUGGAGGAACACCAAUGGCGAAGGCAGCUCUCUGGCCUGAUACUGACGCUGAGGUGCGAAAGCGUGGGGAGCAAACAGGAUUAGAUACCCGGGUAGUC